GCCAAGUGUGGUGGCGCACACCUGUAACCCAAUCGGCUUGGGAGGCUGAGGCAGGAGGAUCACGAGUUCAAAGCCAGCCUCAGCAACUGUGAGGCACUAAGUAACUCAGUGAGACCCUGUCUCUA
This 125-nucleotide small RNA is filed under the name Marmota monax (woodchuck). The record is from RNAcentral. Lineage: Eukaryota; Metazoa; Chordata; Mammalia; Rodentia; Sciuridae.